GACGAACGCUGGCGGCGUGCUUAACACAUGCAAGUCGAACGGUGAAGGUGGAGCUUGCUCCGCCGGAUCAGUGGCGAACGGGUGAGUAACACGUGGGCAACCUGCCCCUCACUUCGGGAUAACUCCGGGAAACCGGGGCUAAUACCGAAUACGACCUCCUUGGGCAUCCCGGGAGGUGGAAAGUUUUUCGGUGAGGGAUGGGCCCGCGGCCUAUCAGCUUGUUGGUGAGGUAACGGCUCACCAAGGCGACGACGGGUAGCCGGCCUGAGAGGGCGACCGGCCACACUGGGACUGAGACACGGCCCAGACUCCUACGGGAGGCAGCAGUGGGGAAUAUUGCGCAAUGGGCGAAAGCCUGACGCAGCAACGCCGCGUGCGGGAUGAAGGCCUUCGGGUUGUAAACCGCUUUCAGCAGGGAAGAAGCCGCAAGGUGACGGUACCUGCAGAAGAAGCACCGGCUAACUACGUGCCAGCAGCCGCGGUAA
RNAcentral lists this ribosomal RNA (485 nucleotides) under uncultured bacterium. RNAcentral's name for it is "partial 16S ribosomal RNA". It matches the Rfam family "Bacterial small subunit ribosomal RNA", at positions 28 to 523 of the family's 1533-position model. The record is from RNAcentral.